UGGUUCCAUGGUUCUCAACAUCAUAAACUCAUUCAUCAGCUUCAUUGGAUUAAUACUGGCUUCCUUAGAUAUGUACAUAGUUACGGAACAAUGUCAUCAACAUUUUCGGUCUGAAAUAAGAUGUGCAGCAUUUGGGGGAAUGGCAACUGCUUCUAUUCUUCUGGUCAGUGAUUUCCUCUUGCUGUUGAUUUUCAUAUAUUCUGCUGUCCUUGGAGGGCGCUCUAUGAAACAUGUGCCAAGUAUUCCUCAGGCAUGUUAGGCAUCAGGAGUGUGAUAUCUUCAAUCAACCAGAGCUUAAAUGGUCUAGAUGGUCCAAGGGUUGUACCGAUUACAGAAAACCUACCUGCAUAAGAAUACAUUGUAUUGUACCCAAAGCUAAUUGCUAAAAAUAGGAUCAAAUUUACAAGACAUCACUGAAAAAGGCCACACAAGUGAUAUACAAGGGCAGGUUAAAAUACCAGUUACCAGUUGGUUGUAGACAAGCCACAAUGCAGAAGGAUACAUAGACGCUUGUCUAUACUUAGUAUCCUGAAUGCAUAAGGUGCCAACAUGUAGUGCACCAUGUUGGCUACCAACCUAUUACUCAUGUCCAUACUAUUAGAUCACAAGAACGUUCUGCGAGAUGAAAUUAUUGUCCUCAUUAUUAACUUAUCUACAAUGUUAUAUUACGUUAAUUUAAAUAACUCUUGAAUAUACACUAGAACAAUUCCCAGAAGGAAACAUGGUAGGCAAUUACCCAGCCAAUACUAGAUACAUAGUCCCAAUUCACACUGCACUAGAUAAGGGUUGAUAAAUUUGUCAAGGAUGUUGCACAUUUCUCACUUCUCCUCUCUGAGAGGAUCCACACCAUUUUCUCUAUAACUGUUUACCAGGCUUAAAGAUGAGGCUUCCAUACUGAACUCUGAUGGGCUACAACAUAUAAAGGGGCUUUCCAGGCUCCUGAUAUUGAUAACCUAUUUUCAGGAAAGAUCAUUACUAUUGGAUUGGUGAGGGUCCGACACUCCACAUCCACACUGAUCAGCUGAAUGGGAGAUGACCUGCUAUGACCCAUCAUGGCCACUAGACUGUCUACACCAGGGAUGCUCAUCCUGCGGUCCUUCAGCUGUUGCAAAACUACAACUCCCAGCAUGCCCUAAUAGCUGUAGGCUGGCCAGGCAUACUGGGAGGUGUAGUUUUGCAACAGCUGGAGGGCUGCAGGUUGGGCAUCCCUGGUCUACACAGUCUGCUUCUUGCUCCACUCAAGAUCUAGUUCCAGCACCGUGAACAGCUGAUCUGCGGGAGUGCAGGGUGUCAGACCCUCACCAAUUGGAUAGUAAUGACCUUUCCUGAUUAUAGAUCAUCAAUAUCAGGAACCUGAAAAACUCCUUUAAUAAUUGUCUACACGGUCCUCCUUCCUGUCAACUACCGUGAUGAGAUAAAAUGUUCAAACCACCUAAGAUCCUCACCCCUGGCCACAGUGCAACCAUCAACAGGGCAGGUGGGUGGGCAGAUCACUGCCUACGAAUAUCUUGCUUAAAUCAGGUACAGACCCCUUCCUAAACAGAUUUCCCGGACCAACAGUUCCCACCUCUCUUCUUGUAGGCCCCUCCUGCUGAGCUGACUUCUGCCUCCCCGCUCUUUCUCCUCCAUACUAUUUCUGCCUUAGGGUACUUUCACACUAGCGUUUUUCUUUUCCGGCAUAGAGUUCCGUCACAGGAGCUCUAUACCGGAAAAUAACUGAUCAGUUUUAUCCCCAUGCAUUCUGAAUGGAGAGCAAUUCA
Long non-coding RNA from Bufo gargarizans (Asiatic toad), 1760 nucleotides. RefSeq lists it as uncharacterized. The record is from RefSeq and is a predicted model, not a curated record. The transcript is spliced from 3 exons. NCBI's taxonomy places the organism in Eukaryota, Metazoa, Chordata, Amphibia, Anura, Bufonidae.